Molecule: long non-coding RNA, 803 nt
Filed under: Amphimedon queenslandica
Lineage: Eukaryota; Metazoa; Porifera; Demospongiae; Haplosclerida; Niphatidae
Description: uncharacterized LOC109593172, transcript variant X2
Source: RNAcentral
GAUUGAACGUGUUAGAUUUCCACGAUGGAAGAAGAGUUCAAAGAGGGGCUGUCUCUUUAUGAGUUAAAACGUUUAAAGAGAAUUAAGGAGAACCAAACAUUAUUAGCUCAAUUGUUUCCAGAGGGCACAAAACUGAAGUCACCGGCAAAGAAGAAAUCUGAAACUAAAGUAACAAUUGUCAUAACAUUAAUUACUACAGGCUGAGAAAGCACAUGAUUCCCACUCAGGAGCACAUGCGCUCCUGACUCUUCACAUUAUAAAUAUCCUUGUAGGACAAUUAAUGGUAACAAAAAUGAAUAUUCCCCUUUGUGUACAUAUGUUGCCAUAAAGUGUCUAUGAUGUCACCUUAAUCAGACUAUUCCCCAGACUGACUCAAGCACUAUAAGAUGCUCAGGACUGUAUGGUUUGACUAGUCACUGUAGGUCAGACUAAUACAAUAUCAUGUUCAUCAUUAAAUUUUUGGUACACCUAUAUAGCAGUUUAGUUCUAGCCAAUCACAUAUGUGGGAGCAUACCUUACUCACCACACCUACCACCCACGACACUUAUGUUUGGCAGCUAACAUGGUGGUAGAGAUCAUUGCUGAAGUUUGCACUCUUAUUAACCUACCUGCUGGCAUUUAUUUAUUGUCCACUCAUAAUACCCUAUGCCUCAAAGAACACUCAGAGUAUUAUUUGUGCUGUUGGUGGGUUUGCUUUGCUACAGUAUGUUUUCGGCUUGUCUGCUUCUUUGCAUUUUAUGUUGGAUGUCUUUCUCGUCUAUUGUGUUUUUUUAUUAUUUGGAAAAGGGAGAGUCUCUCUAUUA